RNAcentral lists this ribosomal RNA (429 nucleotides) under Bacteroidota bacterium. Its description in RNAcentral is "Bacteroidetes bacterium partial 16S ribosomal RNA". It matches the Rfam family "Bacterial small subunit ribosomal RNA", at positions 355 to 776 of the family's 1533-position model. The record is from RNAcentral. Lineage: Bacteria; Pseudomonadati; Bacteroidota.
UAGGGAAUCUUCCGCAAUGGACGCAAGUCUGACGGAGCAACGCCGCGUGUGUGAAGAAGGAUUUCGGUUCGUAAAACUCUGUUGUUAGAGAAGAACAGCGCAUAGAGUAACUGUUAUGCGUGUGACGGUAUCUAACCAGAAAGCCACGGCUAACUACGUGCCAGCAGCCGCGGUAAUACGUAGGUGGCAAGCGUUGUCCGGAUUUAUUGGGCGUAAAGCGAGCGCAGACGGUCAAUUAAGUCUGAUGUGAAAGCCCCCGGCUCAACCGGGGAGGGUCAAUGGAAACUGGUUGACUUGAGUGCAGAAGAGGAGAGUGGGAUUCAAUGUGUAGCGGUGAAUUGCGUAGAUAUAUGGAGGAACACCAGUGGCGAAGGCGACUCUCUGGUCUGUAACUGACACUGAGGUUAGAAAGCGUGGGUAGCAAACAGG